GGCCCUAUGGGUUGUAAACUGCUUUUGCGACGGAAGAAACGGUGCUAUUUAUAGCAUUUUGACGGUACCUCGAGAAUAAGCACCGGCUAACUCCGUGCCAGCAGCCGCGGUAAUACGGAGGGUGCAAGCGUUAUCCGGAAUCACUGGGUUUAAAGGGUGCGUAGGCGGCAUUAUAAGUCAGAGGUGAAAGCCCGUCGCUUAACGAUGGAAUUGCCUUUGAUACUGUAGUGCUUGAAUCAAGUUGAGGCUGGCGGAAUGUGGCAUGUAGCGGUGAAAUGCAUAGAUAUGCCAUAGAACACCAAUUGCGAAGGCAGCUGGCUGGGCUUGAAUUGACGCUGAGGCACGAAAGCGUGGGGAG
This 358-nucleotide ribosomal RNA is filed under the name uncultured Haliscomenobacter sp. Its description in RNAcentral is "bacterial SSU rRNA". It matches the Rfam family "Bacterial small subunit ribosomal RNA", at positions 413 to 768 of the family's 1533-position model. The record is from RNAcentral. Lineage: Bacteria; Pseudomonadati; Bacteroidota; Saprospiria; Saprospirales; Haliscomenobacteraceae.